RNAcentral lists this ribosomal RNA (375 nucleotides) under uncultured bacterium. RNAcentral describes it as "bacterial SSU rRNA". It matches the Rfam family "Bacterial small subunit ribosomal RNA", at positions 521 to 896 of the family's 1533-position model. The record is from RNAcentral.
UAAUACGUAGGCAGCGAGCGUUGUUCGGAGUUACUGGGCGUAAAGCGUGCGUAGGCGGUGCCAUAAGUCUGUUGUGAAAUCUCCCGGCUCAACUGGGAGGGUGCGGUGGAAACUGUGGUGCUGGAGUGUGGGAGAGGUAGGCGGAAUUCCUGGUGUAGCGGUGAAAUGCGUAGAUAUCAGGAGGAACACCUGCGGUGUAGACGGCUUACUGGACCACGACUGACGCUGAGGCACGAAAGCGUGGGGAGCAAACAGGAUUAGAUACCCUGGUAGUCCACGCCCUAAACGAUGCAUACUUGGUGUGGGCAAUUCAUUUUGUCCGUGCCGGAGCUAACGCGUUAAGUAUGCCGCCUGGGGAGUACGGUCGCAAGGCUG